CAACGGCCGCGGUAUCCUAACCGUGCGAAGGUAGCGUAAUCACUUGUUCUUUAAAUGAGGACUAGUAUGAAUGGCACCACGAAGGUUAUACUGUCUCCCAUUUCCAAUCAGUUAAACUAAUCUUCACGUGAAGAAGCGUGAAUAAUUAUAUAAGACGAGAAGACCCUAUGGAGCUUUAAAUAACUGCAACAUGUGUUUUUAUUAUUUAACUUCAUGAAAAAAUUUUUAUUUAAACACUUUGAUUGCUAAUUUUUGGUUGGGGUGACCGCGGAGCAUAAAAUAACCUCCACAAUGAAAGAAAAAUAUUUUCUAAACCUAGAGCUACAACUCGAAGUAUUAUUAAAUUAACAUCCUUUGAUCCAAUAUAUUGAUCAACGAACAAAGUUACCCUAGGGAUAACAGCGCAAUCUACUUCAAGAGCUCCUAUCGACAAGUAGGUUUACGACCUCGAUGUUGGAUCAGGGUGUCCUAGUGGUGCAGCCGCUACUAAAGGUUCGUUUGUUCAACGAUUAAAACCCUACGUGAUCUG
RNAcentral lists this ribosomal RNA (529 nucleotides) under Engystomops pustulosus (Tungara frog). Its description in RNAcentral is "partial large subunit ribosomal RNA". It matches the Rfam family "Bacterial large subunit ribosomal RNA", at positions 1925 to 2607 of the family's 2925-position model. The record is from RNAcentral. Lineage: Eukaryota; Metazoa; Chordata; Amphibia; Anura; Leptodactylidae.